Molecule: long non-coding RNA, 9641 nt
Organism: Haemorhous mexicanus (house finch)
Lineage: Eukaryota; Metazoa; Chordata; Aves; Passeriformes; Fringillidae
Exons: 2
Source: RefSeq, a predicted model, not a curated record
CGGCACAUGGAGCGUGUGCUGUUCCCGUGCUGACUCCGGGAGAGCGGGGGGAGCGAGAGGCUGUUUGCAUCCCUCUGCGCGCCUGUGGCAUCCCGACAAGUAACCGUGAUCCUCGGGUUAUCGCGUUUUAGAGGCUCUUCCUUCUGCAGUUGCAGUUUUCUAUUGCUGAUGUGUUCUUCCACUAGGGUGAGGUUGGUUUGUUUUUUAAGGUGGUGUUGAUGUCUAUUGCUGCUUAAAUCUCUGCAGCCCUUUAAAGAACAGGUUCUGCUGUGAGGACCCAUCCUGCAACAAUGACAGAGUGGUUUACAGUGCAAAGACAAUCUGCUUGAGGGGAGGGUGCUGGAUGGAGGAGGAUGCUGCCACAUAGCCUUUUGUACUGUACACAUUUGUCGUUCAUGGAAACUUAACAAAUUAUUGUUUUUAUAUGUGGGCUGCUUAUUUUUCUUCCCUGGGAUGCCAGGAUAGCUUUGGCUGCAGUGCUGUUGUAAUAGUGCCAUUACUUGGAGUCCUGUGGUAUGCUGAACUGGCAGUAAAACUUUAGCUGCUUUCUCUGUCUUUCCACGUAUGAAUUUUCUGCUCAUACUUUUAAGAAGGCCACAGUAUGAAUGGAGCCACAGUAUGAUUCUAAUUAUUAAUUCAGACAUUCUAUUUAUCUGUUUUAUUAUAGGAGUUAAUAAUUUUCAUGGAUUCUUGAUUGUUUUCCAGGAUCAGGCAAAUUAUACAGCAGCAGAGCAGGUUUCUCCUUUAAAAAUAAAUAACAUUUGUCUAAGACACAGGGCAUCGUCAUCUGUGCUGGCUAGUUCUGAAGCAUUUGUGACCACAGAGUCUGUGUAUGUGAGUGCACAUGGAAAGUGUUUGUUACAUGCCCCCGUUCCCUGCUUGGAUAUGAAAACAUGCUAUAAACCUGAUUUUCCUUGUCAUUACCAGUUUGAAACCAUGCUUCCCAGUACAAGAGUGAGGCUGGAUUCUGGGCCAUCUAAAGAUGUACAGAUGGGGGAAAGAAGCAGUAUUCCUUUGCUUUAACAGUAACUUUGAAAACUGCCCUCACUGUCUUUCAAGUGGAAGAGAUUUCUGGUGAUCAGACUCUUCUGUUUGCCUGAAAUGUUCAUGUUUGUUUAUUUAAGGUUUUGAUUUAUUAAUUUUCCAUUUGUAAUUAAAGUUCAACUGGAUCUGUAUAAAAUGAAGGUGCUCUGGAGGGUUCUCUAAAAGGCAGAAUUUGGGUAGUAAGAUGCAUAUACUAUGUUUGUUUACUUUGAGUAUGAAGCAGCCACAUGGCUCUUCACAUUGUCUGUCUUAUUUAAUGACUUCUGUUGAUUAUGCUCCAGCCAUAUCAGAAAAAAUGAGAACACUAAACCUUUUUUCCACUUUUUACAUUGUUUUCCACUUUGCUUUUACUGUCUGGUGUAUUUGGGUGGGGUGGUGGUGGUGGAAUUUUAUUGUUCUUUUGACCCUAUCCUCAGUUCUGUUCUUUCAUAGUCCUUUUGCAGUGUUCUGAGCUGCUAUUCCAAUUUUUAUUUUUUAGGGGGGAUCCCUCCCUUGAAAGAUUCUGUGACCAUACCUACAUGGUAUAGUAACUUCUUGGCUGCCUCAAUCAAUGACUGCCUGUGAACUGCUUGUUUAUGCUUAGGCUGAAAUCCGAGGAGGGAGCACAGAGGCAGAUGUUGUUGCUAGUCUGUACCAGACUGUCAGAGAUGAAUCUGAGCCACCAAUUUGACUUUUUUCCCCUUGUCAGGAGCAGAGAGAUCACAGUUACCUGUUGGUAGUAGCUCAAGGUGUACUUAGAGAUACUCUAGCAGGAGUCCCAAGCUAAAAGCAGUGGGUGUGCAAGUCUAGCAGGAGUAAAUUAAAGUAUAAUUUACUCUGCCUGUGGGGAUUUUUAUUCACCUUGGAGGUGUUUGUCUUUUGGCUUUGCUUCCUCUUCUAAGGGAAACUAAAACAUUGUCACCUUAAAGGACCUGUUGCCAAAGUAAACCUGCCAUGUGAAAACAGAGACCCACAGCUCCUUGGCAUGGGAGAGAAAAGGGUGUAUAGCAUGUAGGUCUGUGUAUUGCUCUAACAUUAACAGAAAUGGGUGCAAUAUGUGGAGGCUUUUGGACUCUUUUUGGCUAGGAUGGGGGAGAUAGGUGGCAGGUGCUUAAGCUGCCGAAGGUGCAAAGUAUGAAGUUUUUUAAAGUGAGAAUUUCUCGGGCCUCUCCUGUUUGCUGCAGAUUAGGCAGAGAAUCUGACCAAACUUCAAUCCAGAGUUUUUCCUAGUCCUCUUACUUGAGGAGAGAAAGCCCUUACUCAGUUUUAUACUUCAUAGAGAGCUAUUGUUUUUUACUGUAGCCUUUGAGGUGACUUAGAGCAUCUGUGCUGCUGCUGGCAUGGGAACAAGUUCAGUGUAAGAUUUCUUCCCAAGUAUUCAUUCUUGUAUGUUGAAUCGUGUUGAUUGCUGAAUUAAUUUUUUUUUGGUCUUUAUUUAGAACUGCAUGCAGCUGGGUUGCUGAGCUUAGUCAGGCUUGGAUUUGGGUUACUGUAGAAUUGAUUAGCAAAGUUUGGAUCUGAGUUGCUGGCUUGACAAGUUGGUGAACUGCAGAGACGUGUGGCUUACACACAGAGGGGAACUGCACGUGUCAGAGAGAAUGAGCAUCACAUCACCAUUCUUCUGUUGGACCGGAAAAAAAUCUUCAGUCGUAAGUUUCAUGAGGCCAGUGUAGUGACUCAGAAAGGAGUAACCUCCUCUAAAAGAGGAGUGGAGCUGUUAAUCCCCAUGUCUCUGGAGUUACACUACUGCUUUGCCCAAAACCAUUGGACUCCUGCUGACAUCUGCUGCCAGAAAUAGCAAUUCAACUUUGCUUCUUCACCAAGAUAGCUCAUAUGGUUAGUAUUAGUCUUAAUAAAGCAUGAGGCAGCUGCUUUGACAUAUCUCCUUUUUGUCCACCUCAAUCUUCUUCAGUAAAGAGUUUAGAAGGAAGAUAAGCAGUUUUUUUAGUUAUGCAUUAAUUAUGCAUAAAUAAUUAUAGGUGCUGGGAUUUAGUAGAUUUGGACUAGCAAGAAUUACAGCUGCAUUGUUGGGAAAAUAAUGUUCAUCAGUCCAUCCAGUAAAUGUGUUUAAAAAGUUGCCUGUAUCCCUGAAGAAUCUGACAAACUGUACCAUUCUGCUUGCCCUGUAUUUGGACUGAAAUUGGAUUUACGUGUUAGAAACAAGAUCUGUCAGGAAUGGAUUAUUGAAUUCUUGGAUUAGAUUCUAGCUUUGUUUUGCACUAGCUUUUGCAUUGGUUGUUUCUCUUCAAAACCCAGUAUUUUAAACUUGCAAAGAUACUAGUACAGCCAGUCAAAUAUCUCUAAUCUCUAGAAUUCAAAUAAACUCUAAAUUUGUUGUAUAGAUAACAUCAAGAUCUGGAUUUUUUUGAGUUAUGUUUUCUGCUGUUGAUGAAGUGGGAGACAGGCAAAAUUCUAAAUAACUGCUGGCAUUUAAGCAGCAUGUUAUUUAGUUAAAUCUCUGCACUGAGGUAAGACAUGCUGUUGAGGUAAGAAAUGCUACCGUUCAUCUAUUUUUAUUUCUGAUCACAUCUGGUGCUAGUACUGUCAAAGCUAAGUAUUCAUUUGCUAGGAACAUCCUCAGGAAUGAAAAUCAGUUUGGGUAUAACAUAAAGAGGUCAGACUAACAACUAAUUAUUCUUCCCUGCAAAGCAGAAAUAGGAAUGUGUUUUUUUAAUCCAGGAACACCCUCUUCCCCUGCCUUUACCCUGGAACAAAAUGGGUAAAUGACAGUUCUCUUUUCUUUCCUUUCUCUUAGAAACAAGCAUGCCCAAACAGUUCUGUUUAAUAUCAGUACAACAUACUUAUGUAGUACUGCAACUUAUUUCUGGAACCAGACUUAAUUACCUCUUUUUAUUUAUACAAAGAUAAAGAUCCAGGAGACUCUGCUAUUCUUGUUUACCUCUCAAAUGUGGAUUAGCCAUGAUUGGUUACCUUCAAAGACCAGUGGUUUGUCAAAAUUCAAAGCAUAGCCAAAGGGGCUGAUUGUAACUUGCAUUUGCAAUGAGUCUUUGAAAUGAUGCCACUUGUCAGAAUGCAUCAAGGGCAGGUGCUGCUCCACUCUGUGAGGGAAGGCAGCCAGGAGCUGGCUCUGAUGACCUGGCAGGCAGAAGGAGCCCUGCCGGGGUUUUGGAGGAGAGCUGUUUUGAGGAGGCCUCCACUAAGGCUGUUUUUAGGUUGCUUCUUCCCAACAGACAUCAAUGGCUGUCUUGCCUUGGGGAGGCUAAGCUCCCCCAGGGGAGCUCUGCUGUGCACAUCUCUGCUCAGCAGCUGCUGUUUAUCCUUUUGAGUGUUGCACCUUUGAUAUUUGCAUGAUUACAGGUAGCUUUGGAAGCCAGGAGAAAAAUGCCAACACGGCAAAUAGAGUCAUUGCAGUCCUUGCAGUCAGUUGGUUCUAAUAUUCUCUUCCCUUCCCCAUGCUGAUGGAGCACACAAUCUGCCUUGGAAUGGAAAGUUUUGUGUCAGCCAUCCAUUGAUCUGAUGUUUGUUUUUCCCUCUCCCAUUUGGCUGGUGCACACUCGAGGUUGCACUCUAUGAAAUUGGCUUUAAAAGAGUUUUUGCGAAUUUGGGGUAAAUGUCACUUGGUGCUUUAACUGUAGUUGUUCUAUGUGACAGUUUAGUUUAAAUACCUUUAAAAAUAAAGCUAGGCUGGUGAAGAUCAGGAAAACCUAAACUGAUUAUUUCUUCCUAAUCUUUAAAUAAAAGGACACUAGGGUGAAUGACCAAUGAACAGAGCUCUUGGAGGUUUUGUAUUUUUUUUUUAUUUAUAGUGAUACCCAUCCUAGAUAUUUUCAUAUUAUAAAAUUAGUUUUAAUACAUGACUUAGCUGAAUUUCUGCACCUAUAUCAUUCUCUCUGGAUUGGAGUACGUUUAGAUUACAUUCUGGUUUAUUUUUUUUAGUAUUAAUUCUGUUGAAGGAGUGGAGUUACUAGGGGGAUGCAGAAAGGGAGAUGACAGAGGGAAAAUUGGGUAAUGAGUUGGAUUUUGAUCUGCUUUACAGUACACAUGAUCUAUUACUGUUUUCUCAUUUGAAACUUUAAUCACAUGCCUUCUUGUGGACUCACAAGACCAAGAGACCUAUGGCAGGUGUAUGCUUAUGUGACUAUGGUAUGGAGGACUGGUUUUGGAUGAAAGGUGGAAAUUUCUGUUAUACUACCACCUGCUGAAAAGCAGGGAAUGGAGCACUGAAGUUAAAUACAAAAAAAUAAAACCCACAGGCCAACAACCCACCAGAUUUUUCAUUUGUAUAUGAAGAAGUGGUCAGAUGUUAGUUUCUCCCAGCUGGUUAAGAGGGAGGAAGAGAAUUUCAGUAAUCUCUAAUAUAUUUUACUCUCCCUUCCUCUCAAGUGUUACCUGCCUGAGUUAAGGAAUCUAAUAUAACUGUUUACUUUUGUAACAGUCUAAAGCACAAGGUGCUUGUUGUUGAGGAAAGCUCUUUUGGCAUUGUGAUCUUCAUGGCUAUAAGGGCCCCAUUGUGUUCUUGUUAUCAGGAGCUGUGUCUGGGUUAAGCUUAUUGAAGGGAAUUAGAACGAGUGCAGGGUUUGUUGGUGGUGUGGCAGGCGCAAUAGCCACACCUUUCUUUCUGAUGCAAGCCACAGUGCAAAUGUUUCCCAACACCUCAGGCUGACGUUUUUGAAGACCUUUUAAGGUCAACUGCACUGAAUUUCAUCAGAGAUUAAGGUUAUAAGCAGUUUUCAAAGGGAAAUGAGGUGGCUGCUCGAUUUGGGGUUGGAAAAAUAAUUUUUGGCUCUCUUUAUGCAAGGGACAUCUUGACUACAGACUUGGGGCAGCAGUUGGAAUUGGGUUUGAUUGUUGUUUUUGUAGGAGAUGAAGAUUUUUAAAUAUUUACAGCCACAGAAACUUUGUCUUAAACCAGACAAAAAACUUCAAAUAAAGGGAUAGGAAUUGCUCAGACAAGAGCUUGCCUUUUAGGAAGUGAAACUUAAGAGCUGACUGAUAUCUAUUGAGCCAUCAACUAUGUAUCCAACCUAUAUAUACCUAUACCUCUUCUAGCAGAUACCUAUUCAGUUUAAAGAGAAGUAGAUGCUCUGUAAAGAAGUUCCUAGCAAGCGGGUUAUGAUUAAAUUAGGCUGCAUAAGUCUGUCUCUUGCAGUGGGAACCUUGCUAGCCUAAUUUCCUAUUCAUGUAAAAUGAAAACAUGCACUUUGUUUGUGUAGUUGUAAUACACACAUGUCCUGAAUAAUCCUGGAGGGUUAAAACUGCCUUAAAAAAAAAAAAAAAGCUUCAGAAUGCAUUUGUCAAAAUGAAUUGAAUCAUUUGUUUGCUCUUGUGUAACAUUUUGACAGUCUCUGAGAAAGGAUUACAAAGUCCCCACCAUAAGCCAAUGGGUUUAUACUGAAAAGAAGGAUGGUAACUUGGUUUCAUUCAUGUGAAGUAAAAUAUUAAGUAAAAUAUUUGCCUAUAAACAUUGUGCAUAGUAGUCAUUGCAUCCUAAAAGGCCUUUAUAUGUUUGUGGUGGUUUAGUAAAUGAUGCUAUAAAGCUGAGAAAGCAGUUUGCAGGAGUGAUGCAAUAUGUGAGCAACUUAAUAUGUUACAUAGUAUGAAAGAAGGUCUAGUAACCAUAGGAUUUCCAGAUUCCUUUGACAGUAGUUCACCCAGGAGAGGAUUUACUUCUCCCAUUCAUUUAGGUUUUGGUGUUUUUUUAAAGUCCAGUUCACAAAUGCCCAGUGUAAACCAGCAGUGUUGGGAGAUCAGUUCUAUCCCAUGUUCCUUGUGUUUUUGUUCCAAUUCCACUUUGCUGCCUUGCAGAGCUGUCGUAUUUAUUAUGUGAAUGUGCCAUGGGGCAAUGUCAGCAAACAGCCUGGGUUUGGAAAGCUGAAUCUCCUACUAUCAAGUUUGCUGCUUCUGUUGCUGAUGCAAUUUCCCAGUAGAGGAAGAUGGGGGGAGGCUUUCUGUGCUGCUGCCCAGAUGUUUUCCAAUUAAAUGCCACUUGAUAUGAGCUGCCUGUUUUUACAGAAGAAAAUUGUCUAAAUCUGUGCAGGGAAAUUACUGCAGUAACUGCUGGCUACUGUGUGUAUUUUGUUUAUUAUAGGAAGUGAACUUCAGAUGUGUCAUACAGCUUGCUAAAAGACAUGUUAUGUCCCCAGUGAAAGAUUAUAAAAUCAUUCACUAAUGGCAAAAUAACUGAGUUGAGCAUGACUAAUACAUUAACAGCUUAUUUGAAAAGGCAUGCAAAGAACAGUUUUUUCAGGUAAAUACUUAAUAUGUUGGGGUUUCUUUGUUUGGUGUAGUGUUCUUUUGGGGUUUUAUUUUUUUUGGUUGGUUGGUGUUUGGGGUUUUUUUGUUUUGUUUUUGGUGGGUUUUUUUGUGUGUGUGAUUUUGUUUUCUUUUUUAAUUUUUUUUUAUUUGAAGUCUAAGGCUCCUAAGUAGGAAAAAUGUAGAUCUGUUCUACCUGAUACGAGUAAGGUUCUGGCUGUGCAGGCUGGAUAAAUGACAGGUGUGCAUCCCCUGGUCUGCAGGUUGAAUGCCUGUGUGAUCUUUCCCUAACCUGUUCUGGUCAAAAGAAAUUAACCUGGGAAUUAUCUACUGUGCAAGCUAUUUCAAGCUAAUUUAUUAAUUUUUUUGGCUGAAAUGUGCCCCCAGGCACAUCUGAUGACAGAGGGGGAAUUGAAGCCCUCAGGAUUGCCCUCCUGAGCUGGUCGUGCAUUCGGACAGGACUGCCGCGCAUGUGCAGGGUUGAUUAUGUAACCACACUGUGUGCUCCUGCUCAGAUUGACACCUUUAUCUCCCUUGUAUCUCUUUCAAGCUUCUGUAACAGAAAUAGAUUACCCAGGCCUGCUUUUUUGUUUCCCUCAUUUCAAAAAGGGAUCUCUGCUUAAGCCAGAGUGUUGGUGGAGCUAACUUGUAUGUAUUUGGUUGUUACAAAUUUCCUACACGGUUGAUAAUUGACUUAUGAAUCAAACAUAAUACAUUUUUCAUUUGAAAGUAAUUUCUGGUAGGGCUUGAAAGUGUGAACAAAAGACUUUUGAUCACAUUUAGUUUUAUGUUCUUUCAUUACUAGCAAAAUGUCCGUGCUGCUUACUCCUUAAGUACUGUAUAGUUAUGGUAUAUUACAAUUUAAAAGCACUUGAAUCCUGGCUAGACCUGACCUGCUUCACUGACAAACAGUGUGGAUGCUAUGCUUUCUAAUGAAUGUAAGGAAGCUCGCUUUCCUAUCUGCCCAUAGCUUUUUCUACCUUUCAGAACUUGAAUCUACUGCCUUUUAGAAGGCCCCAUAUAUUCUUCAUGUUAACUUUUGGUGCUGAUUUAAAAAGCUGUUUUGUUUCUAAAUAUUAGUAUCUAUAUAAAAUAAAGUAUUAGUAUCUAUAUAAAAUAGUGUCCCAGCUACUAAAGAAAGUAAAUGGAUAUUGCUUGGUGAGGUAGAUUUAGAAAAUUUUUCACUAAUGGCCAAAUAACAGCAAAAUACCCCAGAUUGCACAGCAGUACAGCAUGUCUAUCCAUUGAGCAAUUUCUGUGCACAAAUAAUGUAGUUGAGAGAGCUAUGAUUUAAGAAAUAAAUUUAAACUAUGUGCAAGCAGGCAGAUGAAAUGGAAAGCAAUUCAGAUCUUUAAGUUUUAGACUAAUAGCUGAGAUUCAAAACAGAAGCUAUGUCAAAUUAUUCAAGUAGUUAUUGAUGUGCUGAACUGGUUUUCUUUGUUCAGUACCAUUAAGACAAAUGUGCAUGUUAAUUUCAUCUCUAGUACCUGAUCAUUUGAAAAACUGUGUGAACACAUGCACUUCCCACACUUUGGGAUACAUGGCAUAUCUAAAUACUGUGAGUUUCUUUGUCUAUGCACUGUCUAUUCACUAAGCUUUCCCUUUGCCCUAAGGUCAUUUAAUCCCAGUUUUCAAAACACUAGGCACCAUUAAAAGAAAUAAGAAAGAGAGAUAUUAAUGCUUGAGUAUUGGAUUAGCAUGUACUUCUGAGAUGAAGCAGAUAGCCUUUGGAUAGCUGUCUGAAAACAUUCCUUAUCAGCUUGGGAAACCUGAGCUGUCCCCUGCAAGCACAUAAGUACAGUGGGCCUAGAGAUAACAGAUGCACAAAGCUGAGAAAAGAAACUGCUACAAGGUUCAUGAACUUUAGAAGAUGGUAACAAAAACUGAAGGCAUCUAUCAUCUUCAACAGACAUUAGGCUUUUCUAUAAAAAUAAUUAGAGGGAAUUACGAGUACCAUGUGUUCAAAAAGUGGACAAGAUUGCAGAAUUCUGGACCACAAAAGUGUUAAGCUAUAUAAACCUGAUGUGAUCCUAAGAAACAAAUGGGGUCUUUUAUUGAGAAGCUGAACCAAGUCUUUUUGCCCUGCAGUGGGAUCUUGGAGGUGGGCAGGGUAAAGCAGAAAUUACUAAACACUUGCUACUUCUCUAAACACACUUGCUCAUAUCUGCCACGUGUGGCCUGCCUUGAGCAUAACCUGGAGAAUUUUAACUUAUUCCUUCAAGGAAUCAGUGCAAGGAGUGAUGGCAUAGUUGGGUUUGUGUUUUAUACUGGUCUGGAGGUGGAGCUUUGUGAUAGCAUUAAAGGUAGUUGUUUUUCAUCCUUUAAUGGGUAAAGAUACUGCCAUGUGCUUGUAUGUCCUGUAGGAGAGAACAAAACCUAAGUUGUAGUAAUUUCUUCCAUUACAC